CUAAUACAUGCAGUCGACGCGUUGGCCCAAUUGAUUGAUGGUGCUUGCACCUGAUUGAUUUUGGUCGCCAACGAGUGGCGGACGGGUGAGUAACACSUAGGUAACCUGCCCAGAAGCGGGGGACAACAUUUGGAAACAGAUGCUAAUACCGACAUAACAACGUUGUUCGCAUGAACAACGCUUAAAAGAUGGCUUCUCGCUAUCACUUCUGGAUGGACCUGCGGUGCAUUAGCUUGUUGGUGGGGUAACGGCCUACCAAGGCGAUGAUGCAUAGCCGAGUUGAGAGACUGAUCGGCCACAAUGGGACUGAGACACGGCCCAUACUCCUACGGGAGGCAGCAGUAGGGAAUCUUCCACAAUGGGCGCAAGCCUGAUGGAGCAACACCGCGUGAGUGAAGAAGGGUUUCGGCUCGUAAAGCUCUGUUGUUAAAGAAGAACACGUAUGAGAGUAACUGUUCAURCGUUGACGGUAUUUAACCAGAAAGUCACGGCUAACUACGUGCCAGCAGCCGCGGUAAUACGUAGGUGGCAAGCGUUAUCCGGAUUUAUUGGGCGUAAAGAGAGUGCAGGCGGUUUUCUAAGUCUGAUGUGAAAGCCUUCGGCUUAACCGGAGAAGUGCAUCGGAAACUGGAUAACUUGAGUGCAGAAGAGGGUAGUGGAACUCCAUGUGUAGCGGUGGAAUGCGUAGAUAUAUGGAAGAACACCAGUGGCGAAGGCGGCUACCUGGUCUGCAACUGACKCUGAGACUCGAAAGCAUGGGUAGCGAACAGGAUUAGAUACCCUGGUAGUCCAUGCCGUAAA
RNAcentral lists this ribosomal RNA (801 nucleotides) under Limosilactobacillus fermentum. RNAcentral's name for it is "bacterial SSU rRNA". It matches the Rfam family "Bacterial small subunit ribosomal RNA", at positions 48 to 806 of the family's 1533-position model. The record is from RNAcentral. Lineage: Bacteria; Bacillati; Bacillota; Bacilli; Lactobacillales; Lactobacillaceae.